GUUGGCACAAAAUUAAUUGCAGUUUUGCCAUUACUUUUAUUGCAAAAACUGCAGUUACUUUUGUACCAA
This 69-nucleotide microRNA precursor is filed under the name Saimiri boliviensis boliviensis (Bolivian squirrel monkey). Its description in RNAcentral is "miRNA (ENSSBOG00000011343.1)". The record is from RNAcentral. Lineage: Eukaryota; Metazoa; Chordata; Mammalia; Primates; Cebidae.